This 420-nucleotide ribosomal RNA is filed under the name uncultured Sphingobacteriales bacterium. RNAcentral's name for it is "bacterial SSU rRNA". It matches the Rfam family "Bacterial small subunit ribosomal RNA", at positions 551 to 973 of the family's 1533-position model. The record is from RNAcentral. Lineage: Bacteria; Pseudomonadati; Bacteroidota; Sphingobacteriia; Sphingobacteriales.
UCACUGGGUUUAAAGGGUGCGUAGGUGGUUUUUUAAGUCAGGGGUGAAAGACGGCAGCUUAACUGUCGCAGUGCCUUUGAUACUGAAGAACUUGAAUUAACUAGAGGUAGGCGGAAUGUGACAAGUAACGGUGAAAUGCAUAGAUAUGUCACAGAACACCAAUUGCGAAGGCAGCUUACUAUGGUUAUAUUGACACUGAGGCACGAAAGCGUGGGGAUCAAACAGGAUUAGAUACCCUGGUAGUCCACGCCCUAAACGAUGAAUACUCGAUGUUGGCGAUAUACGGUCAGCGUCUAAGCGAAAGCGUUAAGUAUUCCACCUGGGGAGUACGCCCGCAAGGGUGAAACUCAAAGGAAUUGACGGGGGCCCGCACAAGCGGAGGAGCAUGUGGUUUAAUUCGAUGCUCCGCGAGGAACCUUA